CAAAGAUUUGGUCCUAAUCUUACUAUCAGCUUUAACCCAGUUUACACAUGCAAGUCUCCGCAGCCCCGUGAGAAUGCCCUUACUCCCCCUACCGGGGACGAGGAGCUGGUAUCAGGCCCAAAAAUAGCCCAAGACACCUUGCUUAGCCACACCCCCAAGGGUUCUCAGCAGUGAUAAACAUUAAUACAUAAGUGAAAACUUGACUUAGCCAGGGUUAAGAGGGCCGGUAAAACUCGUGCCAGCCACCGCGGUUAUACGAGAGACCCAAGCUGAUAGCUUCGGCGUAAAGAGUGGUUAUAGACACCCCCCCCACUAAAGCUAAAGACUUUUCUAGCCGUUAUACGCUCAUAAAAGCUCGAACAUCAUCAACGAAAGUGGCUUUAAACACACUAGAACCCACGACAGCUAAGACACAAACUGGGAUUAGAUACCCCACUAUGCCUAGCCGUAAACUUAGAUAUCAAAGUACAAAAGAUAUCCGCCAGGGGACUACGAGCGUAGCUUAAAACCCAAAGGACUUGGCGGUGCUUCAGACCCACCUAGAGGAGCCUGUUCUAGAACCGAUAAUCCCCGUUAAACCUCACUAUCUCUUGUCCAUCCCGCCUAUAUACCACCGCCGCCAGCUUACCCCAUGAGGGCACCACAGUAAGCAAGACGAACAUUGUUCAAAACGUCAGGUCGAGGUGUAGCGUACGAGAUAGGAAGAAAUGGGCUACAUUACCUAAACUAGGUCAUUACGAAAGGUAUUUCUGAAACGACAACCAGAAGGUGGAUUUAGCAGUAAACGAAGAAUAGAGUGCAUUAUUGAAGCCGGCUCUGAAGCGCGCACACACCGCCCGUCACUCUCCCCAAUAGCCCCCAACUUAGUUAUUAACAUCUUAAAUGGCCACAAGGGGAGGUAAGUCGUAACAUGGUGAGUGUACCGGAAGGUGCACUUGGAAUAAC
This 945-nucleotide non-coding RNA is filed under the name Sundasalanx mekongensis. RNAcentral describes it as "12S rRNA". It matches the Rfam family "Bacterial small subunit ribosomal RNA". The record is from RNAcentral. Lineage: Eukaryota; Metazoa; Chordata; Actinopteri; Clupeiformes; Clupeidae.